Molecule: small nuclear RNA, 93 nt
Organism: Cervus hanglu yarkandensis (Yarkand deer)
Lineage: Eukaryota; Metazoa; Chordata; Mammalia; Artiodactyla; Cervidae
Source: Ensembl
GUGAACACCUUUACUAAAUUUGGAACAAUACGGAAGAUUAGCAUGGCCCUGCACAACGAUGGUAUGCAGGUUCGUGAAGCUUCCAUAUUUUUA